RNAcentral lists this ribosomal RNA (253 nucleotides) under uncultured bacterium. RNAcentral's name for it is "partial 16S ribosomal RNA". It matches the Rfam family "Bacterial small subunit ribosomal RNA", at positions 524 to 776 of the family's 1533-position model. The record is from RNAcentral.
UACGUAGGCAGCAAGCGUUGUUCGGAAUUACUGGGCGUAAAGCGCACGUAGGCGGCUUUGCAAGUUAGAGGUGAAAGCCUGGGGCUCAACUCCAGAAUUGCCUUUGAAACGGGGACGCUUGAGUCCGAGAGAGGAUGGCGGAAUUCCUAGUGUAGAGGUGAAAUUCGUAGAUAUUAGGAAGAACACCAGUGGCGAAGGCGGCCAUCUGGCUCGGUACUGACGCUCAGGUUCGAAAGCGUGGGGAGCAAACAGG